UCCNGGACCUACACUGACUCAUGAUAGGCU
This 30-nucleotide non-coding RNA is filed under the name Rattus norvegicus (Norway rat). The record is from RNAcentral. Lineage: Eukaryota; Metazoa; Chordata; Mammalia; Rodentia; Muridae.